This is a non-coding RNA of Lolium perenne, 1280 nucleotides long. Lineage: Eukaryota; Viridiplantae; Streptophyta; Magnoliopsida; Poales; Poaceae. The record is from RefSeq and is a predicted model, not a curated record.
ACUGUGAAAACCACAAAAAGAGAAAGGAAAUCAAGAACAGAAAAACACAAUUUCUAGAUAUUCGGGGGAACUGGACCACAUCUUGAGCACCCCCGUGCUCAUUACAGGUGCUCAGCUCUUGUCCUCUGGAGGACAACUAAGUUUUUUUUUUCUUCCUCUGUUCUUUAGUGAUUCUUGUUAGCUUGUAUAUAUUUUGAACUAAAGUGAGGCAUUGAUUCCUUCUUGCAGUUCUCAUCUAGUUGAACACUCCCAAGCAAGGAAGACCAAAAUGGGAGAAACAAAGCGGACCAAAAGAAAGGAAGGAAGAACAAAGAGGAGAGAAAUCAAUCCUUGUUCUCAACUCAAGCUUUUCACAUUCACAUGUAUACGGAUGGAUGAAGAGCAAAACGAACCAGAACCCAUUUACUUCCAACUUAAUUUUCUCGUCAAGCCUUGUAAGCAAAAAAGCAUGCUCUGCUUAUCACAAGCAUCUCUCUCUCUCUGUAAACCAGUGAGCCAAAGGCAGAAGAGAAAAGGAGAAAGCACCAGAUAGACGGCAGCGACCAAUGAAUUGCACACAGCUGCUAAUUAAGCAUACAUACCUUCAGCAGAGAAGAGCCUAGGAGGGAGGGCAUCAGCUGCCUUGGCCCCUGAGGAGCCAUGGACCUCAGCAACAGCAAGCAAGGCAAAGAACAGCAGUCUCCAUCCACAGGGCAAGCUCCAUGCCCUCAUCUCUCCUCCCUCUCUCGGUCUCUGCUGCUCACCAAGCUCUUCCAAGUGGAGCGCGAUGGCAGUGCCGCAGUGGUGAGAAGACGAGAGGAGUGACUGGCAGUGCCGCAGUGGUGAGAAGACAAGAGGAGUGAGUGACUUGGCUUUCUAGGCAAAAAGCCGCUACUUUGGGUGGUUUCUCCGGCAUGAUUUGGGCCCGCAGACGGUCAGACGGUCAGUCUCAUCUUCUGCCCCUGCCUUGUUGCAACCUUGGUAAAUUUGGCCUGCGCCGGCACGUGGACCUCAGUCUGCCGCGAGCUGUAAAAAGAAGCUUUGGUGAAACCACGAUGCUGCGUCCUUGUUGGGCGAGAGUAGGAAAUAACUGCUCGGAUAAAAAAUGAAUUAGCAGAGGGAAAUAAAAAACCUCGACUCAACUCUCCGGAUAUCAAAAAUCAUCAAACACAUCGGCACUGGUUCUGAUGGAGAAGGGAGGCUAGCAGGUGGUCUGCCGACAAGAGAAGAGAGAAGCCAAGGUGAGUGGCUGCAAGAUACGGAUAAAGAUGGUGUGGAAGAGACGUAAAGGUGAGAGGUGA